UGUCAUGCCAAUGGCACUGCCCGGUAGCUAAAUGCGGAAGAGAUAAGUGCUGAAAGCAUCUAAGCACGAAACUUGCCCCGAGAUGAGUUCUCCCUGACCCUUUAAGGGUCCUGAAGGAACGUUGAAGACGACGACGUUGAUAGGCCGGGUGUGUAAGCGCAGCGAUGCGUUGAGCUAACCGGUACUAAUGAACCGUGAGGCUUAACCUU
Molecule: ribosomal RNA, 209 nt
Filed under: Escherichia coli
Lineage: Bacteria; Pseudomonadati; Pseudomonadota; Gammaproteobacteria; Enterobacterales; Enterobacteriaceae
Description: partial 23S ribosomal RNA
Rfam family: Bacterial large subunit ribosomal RNA
Source: RNAcentral